This 900-nucleotide long non-coding RNA is filed under the name Brachypodium distachyon (stiff brome). RNAcentral's name for it is "long non-coding RNA (BDIS_LNC002845)". Lineage: Eukaryota; Viridiplantae; Streptophyta; Magnoliopsida; Poales; Poaceae. The record is from RNAcentral.
CGCACUCCGGUAGGCUGCGCUGCUUCCCCUUAAAAAAAAAAGGUAGGUUGCGCUGCUCCGCCUCCUCCUCCCUCGAUUCCGGUGGCCGCAGCACCUCAUCCCCAGCCAUUCUCGUCUACGUUCGUCUCCCAGUCAACACUCCCGCGUGACACGGCGGCUCCUGAUUGAUUUUCCCUAGCGCAUCUUCGCGCCCGCAGCCACCCGGCGCGUGCGGCCGCCUGGGAAUCGGACAUCAAACCUCGGGAAGCUGGAGGCCGGUGUAGCGCAGAUGAUUCCACAGUCUGCGGCUGCGGAUGUGGCUCAGAGGUAAUUCGCCUAGUUUUUUUUCUUUGGUGAACUUGAAGUUACAGUUUGAAUUUUUGGGUGCAGGUAAUCGCAUUUUUAUGUCGAUUUUGCCCGUAGUUGCUUUUAUAGGAACAUUUAUCAUAUCAGCAGCCCUCUUUGUACUCGAUUUGAGCUGUUCAUUUUGUACACGGGGUUGUUUUUGUACACCUUUUGUUUUCUAUCAAGGCUGCUGGCUAGAGAAACAGACAUCAUUUACAUUUAUUAUGCAUUCAGCAAGCGAACAAUACACAACUUUGGUAGAUUCGACAAAUAUAAUAGUAACACCCAAUUGCAGGUGGAUAAAAAGAUGUGAACAAUUAAGGCAUGCUUACCUCUAUCCAAUCCAUUGCAUACUAGACCAAACCACAGUUGAAAUGGGCUAGCUUAGCCAAAAUAUCUGGAUAAUACUAGCUGGUCAUAUAGCACUCCUACCCCAAAGAACACACCGAAAGAAAUUGCAAAGAUGACCUCGUUGCUGCAUUGUUUUGCAGAGAUGAUGGAGACGGGAGCUGCUUCAACCGAACCACAAUGGUGCAUAAGCAUAGGGCCACACAGCUUUGGGUUCCCAUCGAAACU